This 73-nucleotide transfer RNA is filed under the name Chloroflexota bacterium. RNAcentral's name for it is "Chloroflexi bacterium tRNA-Asn". It matches the Rfam family "tRNA". Rfam says of the family: Transfer RNA (tRNA) molecules are approximately 80 nucleotides in length. Their secondary structure includes four short double-helical elements and three loops (D, anti-codon, and T loops). Further hydrogen bonds mediate the characteristic L-shaped molecular structure. tRNAs have two regions of fundamental functional importance: the anti-codon, which is responsible for specific mRNA codon recognition, and the 3' end, to which the tRNAs corresponding amino acid is attached (by aminoacyl-tRNA synthetases). tRNAs cope with the degeneracy of the genetic code in two manners: having more than one tRNA (with a specific anti-codon) for a particular amino acid; and 'wobble' base-pairing, i.e. permitting non-standard base-pairing at the 3rd anti-codon position. The record is from RNAcentral. RNAcentral also lists the same sequence under 1 other name. Lineage: Bacteria; Bacillati; Chloroflexota.
UCCGCAAUAGCUCAAUCGGCAGAGCAAUCGGCUGUUAACCGAUGGGUUCCAAGUUCGAGUCUUGGUUGCGGAG